UACGGAGGAUGCAAGCGUUAUCCGGAAUGAUUGGGCGUAAAGCGUCCGCAGGUGGCAAUGUAAGUCUGCUGUUAAAGAGUCUAGCUCAACUAGAUAAGAGCAGUGGAAACUACAUAGCUAGAGUACGUUCGGGGCAGAGGGAAUUCCUGGUGUAGCGGUGAAAUGCGUAGAGAUCAGGAAGAACACCAGUGGCGAAGGCGCUCUGCUAGGCCGUAACUGACAUUCAGGGACGAAAGCUAGGGGAGCGAAUGGG
This 253-nucleotide ribosomal RNA is filed under the name uncultured bacterium. RNAcentral's name for it is "partial 16S ribosomal RNA". It matches the Rfam family "Bacterial small subunit ribosomal RNA", at positions 524 to 776 of the family's 1533-position model. The record is from RNAcentral.